Molecule: ribosomal RNA, 519 nt
Filed under: uncultured eukaryote
Lineage: Eukaryota
Description: partial 18S ribosomal RNA
Rfam family: Eukaryotic small subunit ribosomal RNA (bases 18-319)
Source: RNAcentral
AGGGCCCCGCCAGGGGUGGAGCCUGCGGCUUAAAUUUCCUCAACACCAGAAAUCUUACCCGGCCCCGACACUGGGAGGAUUUACCUAUUGGGAACUCUUUCCCGAUUCCGUGGGUGGUGGGGCAUGGCCCUUCUUAUUUGGUGGAAUGUUUUGUCUGGUUAAUUCCAAUAACGAACCAUACUCCGUUCUGCUAAUUAGUUCCCGCAUCCUUUGUCGCGCGGGAACUUCUUCUUAUAGGGACUGGCUGCGUCUACCCGCACAAGAUUGAGAAUCACAGGUCUGUGCUGCCCUUAUAUGUGCCCGGCCCCCCCCCCGCUACCUUGUUAUGGGUGUGUCAGAAUUACCUUCUGAAAAAAUAUAAAACCCCCCCUUAUUUUUAAACAAAUAAAAAAAGGCCCCCACCCAGUUUUUCCCCCCCCGGAGAACUCUCCAUAUAAAAAACCCCCCCCCCGAAAAACUAUUCUCCGGGAAAAAACCAAAAAAUUUUUUUUUUUGGUCUCCCCGGGGGGAAAAAAUAUU